RNAcentral lists this ribosomal RNA (470 nucleotides) under uncultured bacterium. RNAcentral's name for it is "partial 16S ribosomal RNA". It matches the Rfam family "Bacterial small subunit ribosomal RNA", at positions 28 to 507 of the family's 1533-position model. The record is from RNAcentral.
GACGAACGCUGGCGGCGUGCUUAACACAUGCAAGUCGAACGGUGAACGAGGGAGCUUGCUCCCUCGGGAUCAGUGGCGAACGGGGGGGUAACACGUGAGCAAUCGGCCCCGAACUCGGGGAUAAGCGUGGGAAACGACGCCUAUUACGGAAUAGGACGGGGGGGGGCAUCCUCCCCGCGGGGAAAGAACUUCGGUUCGGGAUGAGCUCGCGGCCUAUCAGCUUGUUGGUGAGGUAACGGCUCACCAAGGCGACGACGGGUAGCCGGCCUGAGAGGGUGACCGGCCACACUGGGACUGAGACACGGCCCAGACUCCUACGGGAGGCAGCAGUGGGGAAUAUUGCACAAUGGGCGCAAGCCUGAUGCAGCAACGCCGCGUGAGGGACGACGGCCUUCGGGUUGUAAACCUCUUUUAGCAGGGAAGAAGCGAAAGUGACGGUACCUGCAGAAAAAGCACCGGCUAACUACGUG